Molecule: ribosomal RNA, 301 nt
Filed under: uncultured bacterium
Lineage: Bacteria
Description: partial 16S ribosomal RNA
Rfam family: Bacterial small subunit ribosomal RNA
Source: RNAcentral
CAGUAGCCGCGGGAAAACGUAGGGUGCGAGCGUCAAUCGGAAUUACUGGGCGUAAAGCGUGCGCAGGCGGCUUUGCAAGACAGAUGUGAAAUCCCCGGGCUCAACCUGGGAACUGCAUUUGUGACUGCAAGGCUAGAGUGCGGCAGAGGGAGAUGGAAUUCCGCGUGUAGCAGUGAAAUGCGUAGAUAUGCGGAGGAACACCGAUGGCGAAGGCAAUCUCCUGGGCCUGCACUGACGCUCAUGCACGAAAGCGUGGGGAGCAAAUGGGAUUAGAUACCCCGGUAGUCCCUGUCUCUUAUAC